RNAcentral lists this transfer RNA (63 nucleotides) under Pulchriphyllium giganteum. RNAcentral's name for it is "Phyllium giganteum tRNA-His". Lineage: Eukaryota; Metazoa; Arthropoda; Insecta; Phasmatodea; Phylliidae. The record is from RNAcentral.
ACUUAAAUAAUUUAAUUUAAAAUACUAGUUUGUGGGCCUAGAUAUGCUAUAUUGCUUUAGGUU